AAACUUUCAACAACGGAUCUCUUGGUUCUGGCAUCGAUGAAGAACGCAGCGAAAUGCGAUAAGUAAUGUGAAUUGCAGAAUUCAGUGAAUCAUCGAAUCUUUGAACGCACAUUGCGCCCGUCAGUAUUCUGGCGGGCAUGCCUGUUCGAGCGUCAUUU
Molecule: ribosomal RNA, 158 nt
Filed under: Dematiocladium celtidis
Lineage: Eukaryota; Fungi; Ascomycota; Sordariomycetes; Hypocreales; Nectriaceae
Also listed under: 1 other name
Description: 5.8S ribosomal RNA
Rfam family: 5.8S ribosomal RNA
About the family: 5.8S ribosomal RNA (5.8S rRNA) is a component of the large subunit of the eukaryotic ribosome.
Source: RNAcentral